AUGAACGCUGGCGGCGUGCUUAACACAUGCAAGUCGAACGAAGCACCUCUAAUCGAAGAUUGAGAAAGCUUGCUUUGAUGAUUCACCUUGAGGUGACUGAGUGGCGGACGGGUGAGUAACGCGUGGGUAACCUACCCUAUACAGGGGGAUAACAGUUGGAAACGACUGCUAAUACCGCAUAAGCGCACAGGACCGCAUGGUCUAGUGUGAAAAAACUCCGGUGGUAUAGGAUGGACCCGCGUCUGAUUAGCUAGUUGGUGAGGUAACGGCUCACCAAGGCGACGAUCAGUAGCCGACCUGAGAGGGUGACCGGCCACAUUGGGACUGAGACACGGCCCAAACUCCUACGGGAGGCAGCAGUGGGGAAUAUUGCACAAUGGGCGAAAGCCUGAUGCAGCGACGCCGCGUGAACGAAGAAGUAUUUCGGUAUGUAAAGUUCUAUCAGCAGGGAAGAAAAAUGACGGUACCUGACUAAGAAGCUCCGGCUAAAUACGUGCCAGCCGCGGC
RNAcentral lists this ribosomal RNA (507 nucleotides) under uncultured bacterium. RNAcentral describes it as "bacterial SSU rRNA". It matches the Rfam family "Bacterial small subunit ribosomal RNA", at positions 29 to 518 of the family's 1533-position model. The record is from RNAcentral.